CAUGGCUGUCGUCAGCUCGUGUCGUGAGAUGUUGGGUUAAGUCCCGCAACGAGCGCAACCCUUGCCAUUAGUUGCUACGAAAGGGCACUCUAAUGGGACUGCCGGUGACAAACCGGAGGAAGGUGGGGAUGACGUCAAGUCCUCAUGGCCCUUAUAGGUGGGGCUACACACGUCAUACAAUGGCCGGUACAAAGGGCAGCCAACCCGCGAGGGGGAGCCAAUCCCAUAAAGCCGGUCGUAGUCCGGAUCGCAGUCUGCAACUCGACUGCGUGAAGUCGGAAUCGCUAGUAAUCGUGGAUCA
RNAcentral lists this ribosomal RNA (301 nucleotides) under Hydrogenophaga sp. Expt2_P4WS_E08. Its description in RNAcentral is "bacterial SSU rRNA". It matches the Rfam family "Bacterial small subunit ribosomal RNA", at positions 1044 to 1351 of the family's 1533-position model. The record is from RNAcentral. Lineage: Bacteria; Pseudomonadati; Pseudomonadota; Betaproteobacteria; Burkholderiales; Comamonadaceae.